GGUCAAUGCUGUUUCUAGAUUUCUCUGGUUGUUCCAUAUUAUUGUUCGCCUUUUCUGAGAGAUCCAAACUCUUGCUUUUCUUUUCCUUGCGGUCCACGCUAGAUCUGGAUUUAUCUCUUCGAUCUGUGCUUGUUCUAGGCUCUCUCUUGUCUGCACUUUGCCUAGCUUUCUCUCUCUGAUCUGUGCUUGGACGAGGUCUACAGUCUGCGCUCGAUCUGUGCUUGUUCUAGGCUCCCUCUUGUCUGCACUUUGCCUAGCUUUCUCUCUCUGAUCUGUGCUUGGACGAGGUCUACAGUCUGCGCUGCUUCGAGGUUUAUCUAUUUGGUCCAUACAUAGUGCAGAUCCAUUUCUAAAAACAGUUGAUUUCUCAAUAGCUGAUAUGAACUUCUUCAGAUGUUUUAUGUACUCAGGAAAGACCUCCAAAUCACAAUGGUUAC
This 437-nucleotide long non-coding RNA is filed under the name Nicotiana benthamiana. RNAcentral's name for it is "long non-coding RNA (NBEN_LNC014513)". The record is from RNAcentral. Lineage: Eukaryota; Viridiplantae; Streptophyta; Magnoliopsida; Solanales; Solanaceae.